RNAcentral lists this ribosomal RNA (245 nucleotides) under uncultured bacterium. RNAcentral describes it as "partial 16S ribosomal RNA". It matches the Rfam family "Bacterial small subunit ribosomal RNA", at positions 524 to 768 of the family's 1533-position model. The record is from RNAcentral.
UACAGAGGUGCCGAGCGUUAGGCGGAAUCACUGGGCUUAAAGCGUGUGUAGGCGGACUUCUAAGUACCUUGUGAAAUCCCACGGCUCACCCGUGGAACUGCUGGGUAUACUGGUCGUCUUGAGCCACCUAGGGGCCAGCGGAACAAAUGGUGGAGCGGUGAAAUGCGUAGAUAUCAUUUGGAACGCCAACGGUGAAAACAGCUGGCUGGGGGUGUGCUGACGCUGAGACACGAAAGCCAGGGGAG